This is a non-coding RNA of Paramuricea clavata, 296 nucleotides long. NCBI's taxonomy places the organism in Eukaryota, Metazoa, Cnidaria, Anthozoa, Malacalcyonacea, Plexauridae. The record is from the annotation of a GenBank genome assembly.
AAAUUACGUUUUUAUCUUUUUUUCCUAAAAUAUUAACCCAGGACGAAAGCCAACGGUAGAUUCCUACAUAUUCUUCCCUAAUGAACAUAUUUAAAUAAUUUUAAGACGAUUUAAAGCCCGGUGAAUUUCGGUGAAAUGAGCCGGUGCCUUGUGUCAAAUUCUGGACUGAUUCUCCAUUUAAAAUAUGCGUAAUGAACAAAAGAUUAAGACCACUUAGUUCAGUUGUGGUUAGUUUACAACUACGAACUCUUGGCCUAGUGAUAAUGAUUACAGGUUUCGCCCUGGACAAUUUUUUU